GAGCAGAGAAGAUAUGUGACAGAAACAAAUUCUGACCUCUUAGGUUUGAACUGAUAAGGAAAAAACUUCUGAGACAUGAACACCAGAAGGGAUGACUGACUGCAACAGUUCUGCCCUAGGCUUUUGCAGUUUAUUCAGUAAGGCAUCAUCAUCUCCAAAAGAUGAGAGUGUGUGACAGAUGUAACAGCACAUUGCGUGAACAGAUUACUCAGUGGAGUCACAGAUGCAUCUAGCAAGACUCUGUAAUGUCAUCUGCUACCAGUCAAGUGCCCUUCUCCCACAAUGCAGUGAUUACAGAGUUCUGAAAAUAAACUAAGAAAAAGGAGGAAGGAAAGGAAAUUUGAACCUAAAAAAAAAAAAAACACAGGACACAUGAGAGGUAUUUAAGACAAUGACCAGAGUCUCAGAACUGGCAUUCAUUCUCCAGCCAUGCUGAGGAGAGGAAGGCAUUCAUUCUCCAGCCAUGCAUGCUGUGGAGAAGCAGAAGUCUGACUUGGUGAGAGCUCAUGGAGACAGGAUCAGCCCUUUAAGCCUGAGGUAGAGGUAAUUGCAGCAGCAUGUUAUGAGCUGGCAAACAUUGAAAGCAACAAGGUAUCCUGUCAUGGACCAGUGUUUGUGGCACUGUGGUUGGGGACCAGCCAAGCAGCCCCAG
This 652-nucleotide long non-coding RNA is filed under the name Cricetulus griseus (Chinese hamster). Its description in RNAcentral is "lncRNA (ENSCGRG00015030912.1)". Lineage: Eukaryota; Metazoa; Chordata; Mammalia; Rodentia; Cricetidae. The record is from RNAcentral.